Molecule: ribosomal RNA, 253 nt
Filed under: uncultured bacterium
Lineage: Bacteria
Description: partial 16S ribosomal RNA
Rfam family: Bacterial small subunit ribosomal RNA
Source: RNAcentral
CACGUAGGGGACGAGCGUUGUCCGGAUUCAUUGGGCGUAAAGCGCGCGUAGGCGGCUCGGAAAGUCGGUCGUGAAAUGCCGGGGCUCAACCCCGGGACUGCGUCCGAUACUCCCGAGCUGGAGGCAGGUAGGGGAGAUCGGAAUUCCUGGUGUAGCGGUGAAAUGCGCAGAUAUCAGGAGGAACACCGGUGGCGAAGGCGGAUCUCUGGGCCUUGCUUGACGCUGAGGCGCGAAAGCUAGGGGAGCGAACAGG